Ictidomys tridecemlineatus (thirteen-lined ground squirrel) is the source of this 570-nucleotide non-coding RNA. NCBI's taxonomy places the organism in Eukaryota, Metazoa, Chordata, Mammalia, Rodentia, Sciuridae. The record is from RefSeq and is a predicted model, not a curated record.
UGGUAACUCUCCAGGGCCGCUCUGAUUCUAGAAUCACUCUACCAUAAAGUCUGGAUGUUCAAAGACUCCUUUGCGAGACACCGUGAGCAUCUCUUCCAAUAUAAUUUAAAAACUGGUAAAGUACCCCCCUCCCCUGCCUUUUACAGCCUAGGAGAAGUCAUGUGACACAGCUCUGGCCAAUGAGAUGCAAGUCAAUGUGCUGGAUUGAUGCUGCCUCUCCUUCUUGUCUUUCAUGAGAAUGUUAUACUGGGGGUUGCUGCCACCACCUUGCAACCAUGAAAGAAAAACCAGAAAACUAUAGGGAUACCAGCUCUGGCACAGCUGAGAAUCAGAACCUGCACUAGGAGCUACCAAAUUCCAGCCUUCUUAUUAUGUAAAAAAAGAUCAAUGUCUAAAUCACUAAGAGAAUUUUCUAUAACAUGGAAGCAAAAUCUUUUCUAACUGAUGUACUCUGCAAGUGAACAUUGAACUGUUAAGGUUUCCAGUCCUGUAGGAAACUUGAGUUUUAAAAAACCACAUGUAUGUUCAAUAUGUUUUUUGAUUUAACUUCUUUAAACAGCGUUUGAAUGA